This 309-nucleotide unclassified non-coding RNA is filed under the name Hevea brasiliensis (rubber tree). Lineage: Eukaryota; Viridiplantae; Streptophyta; Magnoliopsida; Malpighiales; Euphorbiaceae. The record is from RNAcentral.
UUUCUGGGUCAGCAGAGAGACCAGCAGUGCCCCAGCCAUAGUCACCAGGGAACUCACCGGUCAAGUAGGAUGGGGGCUCACCAGAGAAUGGACCCAAGUACUUAACACGGUCAGGACCGUACCACGGGCUUCCAGAGGAAACAGGCUUAGCGCCGGUUUUCCUCAUUGAGACACGGCCAUUGCCCAUGAGCUCAGGGGCAGAGGGGGAGAGCUUCACCGCCUUGCCAACGAAUGAAGGGGAGGAGAGGGCCAUAGUGGAGGAUGCCAUUUUCAAAGUAAGUGCGCAAGUUUAUUCUUCCGUAAGUUGUG